UGUCAUGGCUGGCUGUGCGUGGGAUACCUUCGGGUAUGCCGAAGCUCCAAGUUCGGUCCGCGAACCUGCGUACAGCUGCCACCUCC
RNAcentral lists this non-coding RNA (86 nucleotides) under Pseudomonas sp. NFIX10. The record is from RNAcentral. Lineage: Bacteria; Pseudomonadati; Pseudomonadota; Gammaproteobacteria; Pseudomonadales; Pseudomonadaceae. RNAcentral also lists the same sequence under 1 other name.